CGAUUUUAUUUUGUGGUAACCCACUGAGCCCCUUCUUUUCAUUUUUUCCUUCUUUUCACUUUUUUGGCAGAAGUGGAGUUUGAAUCCAUGGCUUGAGUGUACCAGGCAAGCGCGGCGAGUGCCCUCAGCUCUACCCCCAGGCCCAGCCCGUUUUUAUCAAGGCGUAGCCGUUUUUGACAGGAUCCUGGGAAGGGUCUCCAGGCCCUUGUGCGCAAAGAACAAAGAAUUCGGGAGAUGCAGUGCGCAGGCGUGAACCCUCUGCGAACUACAAGAAGAGCCUUCUAUACACAGUCCUGCCAGAGCAUUUGGUGCGUAAGUGUCUCUGUGCAGCAGCUGACCUUCUUUGUGGUGGGGCGGAGCAGGGUCUUUGUGUUUCUUCUCUCUGUCUGUGGGGAGUAGGCUUUAGGACAAAGGUCAGGAGGUUGGCCCUGGGGCAUUGCCCAGGUUGGGUGGUGGAGGGAAGUGGUCCUGUAGCCCUAGCUGUACCAUCUGUAUCAAAGGUCUACACUCGUGUGUGUGUGUGUGUGUGUGUGUGUGUGUGUGUGUGUAUGUUCUUUUCAUUUUUUUUUUUUUUUUGAAACAAGGUCAUGCUAAAUUCCCAGGCCGGGCUCACACUUGCAAGCCCCUUGCUGUGUAGCCAAGUUGGCCUCGAACUCUUCUCAUUCUCCUGACUCAGCCUCUCGAGUGCUGGGGUUAUAUGUGUGUGCCAUGAUGCCCUGUCUUAAAUUUCCCUCGUGUUCAAUUUUCACACUGAGCCACAUCCCAGCCCUUUAAAAAAAAUUUUUUUUGAGACAAAGUCUUGCUAUGUACUCCAGGCUGGCCUUGUACUUGCCUCCAUCCUCCUACCUCAGCCUCCUGGAUGCUGGGAUUAUAAGUAUGCACCAUCAUAGCUGAUUCCUAGCCCUUUUUUAGUUUUUAUUUUCAGAUAGCGUCUCAUUAAGUUGCCUGGUUGUUUGUUGUUUGUUUGGAGACAGUGUCUGGUUAUUGUAAGGUCAGACCAAGGCAAAGUCUAAGCAACAUUCAGUGAGUUUAUUGUCAUCUGGGUGCAGAUAGGCCAAGGGUGAGAAGGCCCUUGGCACUGAGAGGAGGGUGCCGUGGUUCAUAUGAGGCAUUUCAGGGGCGAGGACACUGGUCCAGAGGGUGGAAAAUUUUAGAGUCCCAUGGGCAAUGGGCCUGGGGCUGGCUGACACACAGGGUGAUGGUGAGGGCAGCAGGGUGCUGCUGGCUUCUUGUUUUCUCUGUGCUCCUGUGGAUUUGGGGAGCGGGCCUGCUUGGGCAGGAGUCUGACUUGGGGGACCUGUCAGUUAUGUAGUCCAGGCUGGCCUUGAACUGGCUGUGUAGUCUAGGCUGAUCUCUAACUUGCAGUGAUCCUCCUGCCUCAGCCUUCCAAGUACUAGGACAGGCAUGUACCCCAAAUCCCAGGCCCAGGCUGUUUGGACUUGCAGUCCUCCUGCCUCAGCUUCCCAAAGUAUUGCCAAAUGGAGGGACUCAUGGAGGGCUUCUCACUAGGUUUGUCCUCAACAAAUGAUUGGACAAGACAUACAGAAAAGGUAAGGACGUUGUAUAUUUACUGAAAGCCCAAAAGAGGAAAGUUCUAAAGGGUAGGAGUGAAGUAGUGAACACAGCAGCCCUGAGGAUUAGGGAAAGGGGUCUUUUGUAUCCAAAAUUCUUGGAUUGGCUCAAAACAUACAACACACGUGCACACAAAUGCAUGGGUGUCACACAGUGAUGUGUCAUGAUGCACAUCUGUAAUCCCAGCCCUGGGGAGACUGAGGCAGGAGGAUCACCACAAAUUCGAGGCCAGCCUGGGCUACAUAGCUAGUUCAAGGCAAGCCUGGAUGAGACCAUGUCUCAAAACAACAACAUCAAAACAAAAAACACGUAAGCCAGGUGUGGUGGUGCACACCUGUGAUCCUAGUUCUCGGGAGGCCAAGGCAGGAGGACCAGUGUAAGUUGGAGGCCAGCCUGGGCUACAUA
This 1977-nucleotide long non-coding RNA is filed under the name Fukomys damarensis (Damara mole-rat). RNAcentral describes it as "lncRNA (ENSFDAG00000030978.1)". The record is from RNAcentral. Lineage: Eukaryota; Metazoa; Chordata; Mammalia; Rodentia; Bathyergidae.